Molecule: ribosomal RNA, 492 nt
Filed under: uncultured archaeon
Lineage: Archaea
Description: bacterial SSU rRNA
Rfam family: Archaeal small subunit ribosomal RNA
Source: RNAcentral
AGGAAUUGGCGGGGGAGCACCACAACGCGUGGAGCCCGCGGUUUAAUUGGAUUCAACGCCGGACAUCUCACCAGAGGCGACAGCUGUAUGAUAGCCAGGUUGAUGACUUUGCUUGACUAGCUUAAAGGAGGUGCAUGGCCGCCGUCAACUCGUACCGUGAGGCGUCCUGUUAAGUCAGGCAACGAGCGAGACCCACGCCCUUAGUUACCAGCUUAUCCUUUUUUGGAUGAUGGGCACACUAAGGGGACCGCCUAUGAUAAAUAGGAGGAAGGAGUGGACGACGGUGGGUCCGUAUGCCCCGAAUCCUCUGGGCAACACGCGGGCUACAAUGGCUGAGACAAUGGGUUCCGACACCGAAAGGGGGAGGUAAUCCUCUAAACUUAAUCGUAUUUCGGAUUGAGGACUGUAACUCGUUCUCAUGAAGCUGGAAUGCGUACUAAUCGCGUAUCACUAUUGCGCGGUGAAUACGUCUCUGCUCCUUGCACACACCGC